GACGAACGCUGGCGGCGUGCUUAACACAUGCAAGUCGAACGAUGAACCCGGAGCUUGCUCCGGUGGAUUAGUGGCGAACGGGUGAGUAACACGUGAGUAACCUGCCCUUGACUCUGGGAUAACUGCGGGAAACUGUAGCUAAUACCGGAUACGACCCUCGGCGGCAUCGCCAGGGGGUGGAAAGAAUUUCGGUCAAGGAUGGACUCGCGGCCUAUCAGCUAGUUGGGGAGGUAACGGCUCAGCAAGGCGACGACGGGUGGCCGGCCUGAGCGGGUGCGCGGCCAAACUGGGACUGGGAGACGGCCAGACUCCUACGUGAGGCAGGAGUGGGGAAUAUUGCACAAUGGGCGCAAGGCUGAAGGAGGAACGCCGCGUGAGGGAGGACGGCCUGCGGGUUGUAAACCUCUUUUAGUAGGGAAGAAGCGAAAGUGACGGUACCUGCAGAAAAAGCACCGGCUAACUACGUGCCAGCCGCCGCAGUAA
Molecule: ribosomal RNA, 483 nt
Filed under: uncultured bacterium
Lineage: Bacteria
Description: partial 16S ribosomal RNA
Rfam family: Bacterial small subunit ribosomal RNA
Source: RNAcentral